This 872-nucleotide ribosomal RNA is filed under the name uncultured crenarchaeote. Its description in RNAcentral is "bacterial SSU rRNA". It matches the Rfam family "Archaeal small subunit ribosomal RNA", at positions 476 to 1347 of the family's 1478-position model. Lineage: Archaea; Thermoproteati; Thermoproteota. The record is from RNAcentral.
CCAGCUCCCCGAGUGGUCAGGGCGUUUAUUGGGCCUAAAGCAUCCGUAGCCGGCUCUGUAGGUCCUCUGUUAAAUCCAACGGCUCAACCGUUGGGCUGCAGGGGAUACCGCAGGGCUAGGAGGCGGGAGAGGCGGACGGUAUUCCGUGGGUAGGGGCAAAAUCCUCUGAUCCACGGAGGACCACCAGUGGCGAAGGCGGUCCGCCAGAACGCGCUCGACGGUGAGGGAUGAAAGCUGGGGGAGCAAACCGGAUUAGAUACCCGGGUAGUCCCAGCUGUAAACGAUGAGCUAGGUGAUGGAGUGGCUGAGGGCCAUUCCAGUGCCGCAGGGAAGCCGUUAAGCUCGCCGCCUGGGGAGUACAGUCGCAAGACCGAAGCUUAAAGGAAUUGGCGGGGGAGCACCACAAGGGGUGAAGCCUGCGGUUCAAUUGGAGUCAACGCCGGGAACCUUACCGGGAGCGACAGCAGGAUGAAGGCCAAGCUGAAGACUUUACCAGACGAGCUGAGAGGAGGUGCAUGGCCGUCGCCAGCUCGUGCCGUGAGGCGUCCUGUUAAGUCAGGCAACGAGCGAGACCCCUGCCGCUAAUUGCUACCAUUGCUCCGAAAGGGGUGGCGGAGCUAGUUAGCGGGACUGCCGUCGCUAAGACGGAGGAAGGAAGGGGCCACGGCAGGUCAGUAUGCCCCGAAACUCCCGGGCCACACGCGGGCUGCAAUGGUAGGGACAGAGGGUUCCGACCCCGAAAGGGGGAGGCAAUCCUGAAACCCUACCCCAGUUGUGAUUGAGGGCUGCAACCCGCCCUCAUGAAUCUGGAAUCCCUAGUAACCGCGUGUCAACAUCGCGCGGUGAAUACGUCCCUGCUCCUUGCACACACC